This 468-nucleotide ribosomal RNA is filed under the name uncultured bacterium. RNAcentral describes it as "partial 16S ribosomal RNA". It matches the Rfam family "Bacterial small subunit ribosomal RNA", at positions 28 to 507 of the family's 1533-position model. The record is from RNAcentral.
GACGAACGCUGGCGGCGUGCUUAACACAUGCAAGUCGAACGGAAAGGCCCUGCUUUUGUGGGGUGCUCGAGUGGCGAACGGGUGAGUAACACGUGAGUAACCUGCCCUUGACUUUGGGAUAACUUCAGGAAACUGGGGCUAAUACCGGAUAGGAGCUCCUGCUGCAUGGUGGGGGUUGGAAAGUUUCGGCGGUUGGGGAUGGACUCGCGGCUUAUCAGCUUGUUGGUGGGGUAGUGGCUUACCAAGGCUUUGACGGGUAGCCGGCCUGAGAGGGUGACCGGCCACAUUGGGCCUGAGAUACGGCCCAGACUCCUACGGGAGGCAGCAGUGGGGAAUAUUGCACAAUGGGCGGAAGCCUGAUGCAGCAACGCCGCGUGCGGGAUGACGGCCUUCGGGUUGUAAACCGCUUUCGCCUGUGACGAAGCGUGAGUGACGGUAAUGGGUGAAGAAGCACCGGCUAACUACGUG